GUCUUUUGGAUAAAAGCCAUUUUAACUGGGGUGAGAUGAAAUCUCAUUGUAGGUUUGAUUUGCAUUUCUCUGAUGAUCAUUGAUGUUGAGUACUUUCCUUUCUUUCUUUUUUUCUUUUUUAUUACAUCACAGUUCUGUAGCUCAGAGUUAAAGAAGGCUUGCCUGGGUUCUCUGCUUAAGGUCCCACAAGGCUGAAGUCAAGAUGUCAGACAAGGUAGGCUCUUAUCUGGAGGCUCUGGGGAUGAAUCCAGUUCCAUGCCCAUUCAGAUUUGGGACAGAUUUUGAUUCCCAUAUCCUUCCUAGUUGUCAGCUGAGAACUGUUUUCAGCUUCUAAAGGUUACUCAUAUUCUUCUCAAAUUCCCGUCUUCCAUUUUUGAGCCAACA
RNAcentral lists this long non-coding RNA (384 nucleotides) under Homo sapiens (human). RNAcentral describes it as "non-protein coding lnc-SREK1-3:1". The record is from RNAcentral. Lineage: Eukaryota; Metazoa; Chordata; Mammalia; Primates; Hominidae.